RNAcentral lists this ribosomal RNA (502 nucleotides) under uncultured bacterium. RNAcentral's name for it is "bacterial SSU rRNA". It matches the Rfam family "Bacterial small subunit ribosomal RNA", at positions 12 to 507 of the family's 1533-position model. The record is from RNAcentral.
UUUGAUCAUGGCUCAGGAUGAACGCUAGCGGCAGGCCUAACACAUGCAAGUCGAGGGGGUAGAGGAAGCUUGCUUCCUUGAGACCGGCGCACGGGUGCGUAACGCGUAUGCAACCUACCUUUUACAGGGGAAUAGCCCAGAGAAAUUUGGAUUAAUGCCCCAUGGUAUAAUCGGAUGGCAUCAUUUGAUUAUUAAAGUUCCAACGGUAAAAGAUGGGCAUGCGUCCUAUUAGCUAGAUGGUAAGGUAACGGCUUACCAUGGCUACGAUAGGUAGGAGUCCUGAGAGGGAGAUCCCCCACACUGGUACUGAGACACGGACCAGACUCCUACGGGAGGCAGCAGUGGGGAAUAUUGGACAAUGGGCGAAAGCCUGAUCCAGCCAUGCCGCGUGUGUGAAGAAGGUCUUCGGAUUGUAAAGCACUUUAAGUUGGGAGGAAGGGUAGUAACCUAAUACGUUGCUACUUUGACGUUACCGACAGAAUAAGCACCGGCUAACUUCGUG